Molecule: ribosomal RNA, 217 nt
Filed under: uncultured fungus
Lineage: Eukaryota; Fungi
Description: partial small subunit ribosomal RNA
Rfam family: Eukaryotic small subunit ribosomal RNA (bases 103-217)
Source: RNAcentral
GGCUCCGGGCCGCGGUCGGCUCCAAGGAGUCUGUACCUGCGGGUCGGAGCCAUCCUCGGGGAGAACAUGUCUGCCAUUCAGUUGGUGGGCAUGGGACCCUCGUCAUUUACUGUGAGCAAAAUAGAGUGUUCAAAGCAGGCUUAUGCCUGAAUACAUUAGCAUGGAAUAAUAGAAUAGGACGUGUGGUUCUAUUUUGUUGGUUUCUAGAAUCGCCGUA